RNAcentral lists this ribosomal RNA (301 nucleotides) under uncultured bacterium. RNAcentral describes it as "partial 16S ribosomal RNA". It matches the Rfam family "Bacterial small subunit ribosomal RNA", at positions 509 to 807 of the family's 1533-position model. The record is from RNAcentral.
CAGUCGCCGCGGUAAUACAGAGGGUGCGAGCGUUAAUCGGAUUUACUGGGCGUAAAGCGUGCGUAGGCGGCUUCUUAAGUCGGAUGUGAAAUCCCUGAGCUUAACUUAGGAAUUGCAUUCGAUACUGGGAAGCUAGAGUAUGGGAGAGGAUGGUAGAAUUCCAGGUGUAGCGGUGAAAUGCGUAGAGAUCUGGAGGAAUACCGAUGGCGAAGGCAGCCAUCUGGCCUAAUACUGACGCUGAGGUACGAAAGCAUGGGGAGCAAACAGGAUUAGAUACCCGCGUAGUUCCUGUCUCUUAUAC